This 253-nucleotide ribosomal RNA is filed under the name uncultured bacterium. Its description in RNAcentral is "partial 16S ribosomal RNA". It matches the Rfam family "Bacterial small subunit ribosomal RNA", at positions 524 to 776 of the family's 1533-position model. The record is from RNAcentral.
UACGGAGGGUGCAAGCGUUAUCCGGAUUUACUGGGUUUAAAGGGUGCGCAGGCGGUUAUGUAAGUCAGUGGUGAAAUCUUCCCGCUUAACGGGAAAACUGCCAUUGAUACUAUAUAUCUUGAAUGCUGUGGAGGUAAGCAGAAUAUGUCAUGUAGCGGUGAAAUGCUUAGAGAUGACAUAGAAUACCUAUUGCGAAGGCAGCUUACUACGCAGAUAUUGACGCUCAUGCACGAAAGCGUGGGGAUCAAACAGG